CAGGUUCUGUUCCUCCUAUGCCUCAUCCGUCAGGCGUCCCCCAAGCACCCCGAGUGGCGUCCAUGAGUCACCGCGAGGAGUGUCUGGAGGUGACGAAAUGCACGACACUGAGGUUGAGCUUCACAAUGCACCACGAAUCUACAGACCAAUGAGUAAUUAUUAUUUUGAAGUUUAGCAGCGUAGUAUUGUAACCAGAAAAUAUGACAACGUAUCCUCAAAAAGAAUAAUAAUAAUAAUAGAAAUAAAA
Long non-coding RNA from Scylla paramamosain (green mud crab), 247 nucleotides. RefSeq lists it as uncharacterized. The transcript is spliced from 2 exons. The record is from RefSeq and is a predicted model, not a curated record. Lineage: Eukaryota; Metazoa; Arthropoda; Malacostraca; Decapoda; Portunidae.